AACAAAAUAAGUUGGGUUAAUUUUUGUAAAUGUACCAUGCAUGCUUAAAACCAAUGUAGCUCCAACAUUGUUCCCUAGAUACAGGAUGAUGGACAGAUGGCUCCAUAGAUGUGAUGGAGAUGGUUUACUAUUGGGAUCUUCAGCAUCCUUCUGAUGUUUUGUUGCUAAGAAUAUGAAUGGCUGAGAGGGGGCUGCGGAGCCUCACCUCCCACUCUGCUUGUGUGUGAGGUUCUUCCUGCCAUCCUGCCAUCAUUUGUUUCUUAUGUUUUGCAGCCAAGACGGACCAUGAGAAACCCUGGGAGCUCAGGAAGGAAGGAGCUGCCAAGAAGCAGGGACAGGGAGCUGGUGGGGAAGACCAGAAAUCAAGUCUGUGAAGGUUCCAGAGAGGACCUGUCCUUGGGAGCUCUGUGCUCAAGCCUUGGAGAGGGAGACGGCAGAGAGCAAGGCUGCCUACAAGCAGCACAGGUAGGUCAUUGUGAUGGAUUUUUUUUCUUUUUGAGCUGGAGUCUGGCUCUGUUGCUCAGACUGGAGUGCAGUUGUGCAAUCUCAGCUUACUGCAACCUCCACCUCCUGGGUUCAAGCAAUUCUCUGCCUCAGGCUCCUGAGUAGAUGGAAUUUAAAGCAUGUGCCACUAUGCCUGACUAAUCUUGUAUUUUUAGUAGAGACAGUUUCUCCAUGUUGAUCAGGCUUCUCUCAAACUUCUGAUCUCAGGUGAUCCACCCACCUUGGCCUCCCAAAGUGCUGGGAUUGCAGGCUUGCGCCACCGCGCUCAGUUGUUAUGGUCAUUUUUAAGGAUGUUUUUGUUUUAAGAUGAAGCUUCAAGUGUCUAGUAAAGAACGUGGUGUUUUAAUUCUUUUUCAAGUCAGUUCUUUCUCUGUCUUCUAGAUGGGAAAUGAGGAGAAAGAGGAGAGUGCCAGGGAGACACAUGAGUGAGGGGCCGGCCCAGAAACGCCUGGGCCUAGAGAACCCUUUCUGUGAAGGCAGCUGCUUAAUUUCUGCCUCACAAUCCACACACCCUGCUUCUCCUUUUGGUGGUGAGGGCUCAGGUGGGGUAAUUGUCAUGUUUUCUGAAAACAGUUUCAAGCACUUAUGAAGAGAAAAGUUGUCCCACUGGGUGGCAGGACCCCAUUUUUCUCAGGUACCCUAGCUGAAUGGCUCUUGGCUGGUCCCCUGUGAAUGGUGGAGCUCAGGCCCCUCCACUGACUGUGGACAUUGCCCCACCCUGACGUCUUGGUUACUUUUAACUGCAAAGAUGAGCUUGCAAGGCAAAUGGGCCAGCUCCCCUUCCCGCCUUGAGUCACUGUGAAAGCUUUAUUUUUCUUUCAUUUGAGAAAAGUAACAACAAUAGCAUUUUAGAAGGGCUGCUGAAAGUGCUGAUGAGAGCAGAGAUUUUCAGGCAAUGUCUUCAUGGAUCAAUAAAGCAGUACCAUAAGAUCUGCUUUAAGAAAAGAAGCAUUUAUUUGCACUCUUUGGAACUUCCUUCAUUGUUUUUGCUUGUUUAAAUUGUUUAUUGUGAACUAUAUCACUCCUUUAGGAAGCUACAUUUCUAUGUAAUCUUACUCCUCUAACAUUUGAAGUGUGACCCUAAAACUUUCCAGUUGAUUUCUUUCCUUUUUCCUUCCUUCCUUCCUUCCUUCCUUCCUUCCUUCCUUCCUUCUUCCUUCCUCCUUCCUUCCAUCCUUCCUUCCUUCCUUCUUCCUUCCUCCUUCCUUUCUUCCUUCCAUCCUUCCUUCCUUCCUUCUUCCUUCCUUCCUUCCGUCCUUCCUUCCAUCCUUCCUUCCUUCUUCUUUUUUUCUCUUUUUUCUCUUUCUUUUCUUUUUGAAAACCUUGCUCUGUCACCCAGGCUGAAGUACAAUGGCACAAUUUUUGCUUACUGCAACCUCCACCUCCCGGGUUCAAGCAAAUCUCCUGCCUCAGCCUCCCAAGUAGCUGGGACUUACAUGCACCUGCCACCAUGCCUGGAAAAUUUUUUCUUUUUGUAUUUUUAGUAGAGACAGAGUUUUACCAUAUUGGCCAGGCUUGUCUCUAACUCUUGACCUUAAGUGAUCUGCCCACCUCAGCCUUCCAAAGUGCUGGGAUUACAAGUGUGAGCCACCGCACCCAGCCUCCAUUUAAUUUCUGUAGCUCUGACCUUUUCUUAUGACUGUUAGUCUCUUUGUGUUAAUUUCUGUUCAUAAAUUUUGACAAUGCCUGGUGAGAUGUGGUGGUUAGAUUCACUGUGAAUCCACAGAAUUUUAAAUGCCCCUACAGCUUGAAGAAAAGGAGCAGUGCUGCUCCUGUCCUGGCCCUAUAGAUGUUCUUCCCAUCCAUGGCUGUUUCUAUUUUAAUUUGGAGUCUGUGCUCACAUGAUGGGUGAUUUCCUUUGAUGUGUACUGGGAACCCCUGAUUUAAAGCUCAUUUCCAGCUGGUUAGAGCCCGACCUGUCCACAGUCUGUUGAGAGAGAAGAAAACCUCUGGACCAGGGCUCUGUGGUGUCUUCCUCAAGGCUGAGGCCCAGAGGGCUUCAGGGUCCUCUGAGGCAUCUGGUCAAUAAACCCUGUGCCUCUGGUAAGAGACCUGAGUGUGGCAAAGAGAGUGAGAUGGCAGCGGAGGGCGUGGAGGGUUUCGUAUUCUGCACAGAACACGCAAGCCAGAUUUAGCCCCAUUCCCUUCUCUGGCCCUUAGCGGAUUCAGGACCUCAUUCAGUUCCCAUGAGGAAUAGCAGCUGCGUCCCAACUGAAAACACAGAGAAGACAAAGGUAAAUGCUGGGGUCAUUUUCACUCUGCCCAUAUCAGGACACUGUAGUCUUUUCCUCCAUCGCCCUCUCCUGGCCUGGCCUCUGCUCUGUGGGUUCUGUGAUACCUUUUCUGUCUGGACUUUUUCAGAAGGAAAAUCUUCCCCAUAAGCUUUUGGCUUCUCCAUUCCCAGCUAGUCAUCUUGAGUGGCACCUCCAGAAGCCAUAAAUGCUUAGGGACUGAGGGCUGAAGGGCUUUUACUGUUCUGCUUCCAGAAAUAACACAAAGAAUGCUGCUGACCUCCACUGCUGUAGGUCUUAUGGCCCAGUGAACUCUGACUGAUCUCUUUUACUCAAGAUGUUGUGGGGUCUAUUUCUGAAAUAUAUGUGGUUUUUAAAUAUUUUGCUGUGAUUUUGUUUGUUUUCUUCUAUAAAGUAGGUGAUUAGCAUUUGAAAUAUCUUCUGUAUUCCCAGAAGUGAUGAAAGUGAAAACUCAUUAAUCCAACAUUAAUAUGUGCUUUGUGCAAUUUUGAAUGCUGUUCGACAAGGUCACUUCCAUAGUUCAUCACAGUCCCAUUCCUGUUGGUAACUGUGUUGGGCAAAAACACCUUCAUCCCCCUUUGGCAGUGCCCCUGAUCUAAUACUCUAAGUGUCAGAAUUUCCAUAUUUGUAAUAGAAAAAUGCCUUGACUGUGAGUUAGUGAAAGUGAAUGUAACCUAUUACCCACAGUGACGAUUCCCAACCAAGGCCUUAAAUGAUGCUCAGCUAUGCUGGUUCUCGUGUGGCCUCUGUACCUUCAACAGCUGCCGAGUCCUAUGAUUACACAUGAUGGGAACUGUACACUUGAAAUCAAAUACAUUUCUAAAACUUGCUUUUUUCAGAAUUCCCACCUUAUUUUUCCAUGGACAAAAGUAUUCUUUAUGUCAUAAUGCGCUUACAAUUUGUAUUACCUGGGAGUUAAAAGAAAUGUUCUAGCCAUGCCUAACUGACUUCUGUAUGUUGAUUGUUCUGUCAGAAAACCCUCUCCCAGUUCUCUUGCAUGUCUUCAGGAGUCCACAUUUCCCCAGAGCCAUUUGUGCUCACAGGUGGCACUCCCAGAGUGAAUAAGACCAUUUUUUAGUAGAGAUGGGGUUUCACCAUGUUGGCCAGGAUGGUCUCUAUCUCCUGACCUUGUGAUCUGUCCGUCUCGGCCUCCCAAAGUGCUGGGAUUACAGGCAUGAGCCAUCACACCCAGCCCCUUAUGUUUUUAAAAACAACUUUAUUGAAAUAGAGUUUAUAUAGCAUACAACUUCCCCACUUAAGGCAUCCAAUUCAAUGGCUUUUAGUAUAUUCACAAAUCCUUUCUUUGUGUGUGUAUGUACCACACUUUCCUGUCCAUUCAUCUGUUGAUGGAUACUUAGGUUGAUUUCGUAUUUCAGUUGUUGUGAAUAGUGCUGCAAUAAACAUGGGAGUGCAGAUGUGUGUUUGAUAUACUGAGUUUCUUUCUCAUGGGCAUGUACCCAGCAGUGUGAUUGCUGAAUCAUAUGGUAGUUCUAUUUUCAGUUUCUCGAGGAUCCUCCAUGCAGUUUUCCAUGGUGGAUAGACUAUUUUACAUUAUCAUCAAGAGUGUUUGAGUGCUCCUGUUUCUCUGUGUCCCUGUCAGCAUUUGUCGUUUUCUGACUUUUUGAUAGUCGGAAUGUUAAUUGGGGUUAGGUGAUAUUUUAUUGUGGUUUUGAUGUGAAUUUCUGUGAUGAUUAGUGAUGUUAAACAUGUUUGCAUUUACCUAUUGGCCAUUUGUAUGUCGUCUCUUGGAAAAUAUCUAUUGAGCUCUAUUGUCCUUUUUUUUUUUUUUACUUCCUCUAACAUGGAUCAUAGGAGACAAUUUUGUUUUUCAAGGCUGUUGUUGCAGAAUGGGG
Molecule: long non-coding RNA, 4609 nt
Organism: Aotus nancymaae (Ma's night monkey)
Lineage: Eukaryota; Metazoa; Chordata; Mammalia; Primates; Aotidae
Source: Ensembl